GAUGAACGCUGGCGGCGUGCCUAAUACAUGCAAGUCGAGCGAACGGACGAGAAGCUUGCUUUUCUGAUGUUAGCGGCGGACGGGUGAGUAACACGUGUAUAACCUACCUAUAAGACUGGGAUAACUUCGGGAAACCGGAGCUAAUACCGGAUAAUCUUUUGAACCGCAUGGUUCAAAAGUGAAAGACGGUCUUGCUGUCACUUAUAGAUGGAUCCGCGCUGCAUUAGCUAGUUGGUAAGGUAACGGCUUACCAAGGCAACGAUGCAUAGCCGACCUGAGGGGGUGAUCGGCCACACUGGAGCUGGGACACGGACCAGACUCCUACGGGAGGCAGCAGUAGGGAAUCUUCCGCAGUGGUCGAAAGCCUUACGGAGCAACGCCGCGUGAGUGAUGAAGGUCUUCGGAUCGUAAUACUCUGUUAUGAGGGAAGAACAUAUGUGUAAGUAACUGUGCACAUCUUGACGGUACCUAAUCAGAAAGCCACGGCUAACUACGUG
RNAcentral lists this ribosomal RNA (497 nucleotides) under uncultured bacterium. RNAcentral describes it as "partial 16S ribosomal RNA". It matches the Rfam family "Bacterial small subunit ribosomal RNA", at positions 28 to 507 of the family's 1533-position model. The record is from RNAcentral.